RNAcentral lists this ribosomal RNA (161 nucleotides) under Clostridium perfringens. RNAcentral describes it as "partial 16S ribosomal RNA". It matches the Rfam family "Bacterial small subunit ribosomal RNA", at positions 1 to 158 of the family's 1533-position model. Lineage: Bacteria; Bacillati; Bacillota; Clostridia; Eubacteriales; Clostridiaceae. The record is from RNAcentral.
UUUAAAUUGAGAGUUUGAUCCUGGCUCAGGAUGAACGCUGGCGGCGUGCUUAACACAUGCAAGUCGAGCGAUGAAGUUUCCUUCGGGAAACGGAUUAGCGGCGGACGGGUGAGUAACACGUGGGUAACCUGCCUCAUAGAGUGGAAUAGCCUUCCGAAAGG